This 449-nucleotide transfer RNA is filed under the name uncultured bacterium. RNAcentral's name for it is "partial 16S ribosomal RNA". The record is from RNAcentral.
UGCCAGGGCAUCCACCAAACGCCCUUUUCGCGCUUGAUCUGACCCGGAAAGAGCAAGGCCGCUGGUUCAAGUGGCCCGCAUCCCUUCCGGCGUCAAAAGUCGUAUACUUACCCAUGCGUGCAGCGAACGCGCCCUAAAGCACAGUCACCGCACACGGUUAGUGUACUAGACUUGGAACAAUAUCAUCUGUCGCGGUCGAACCGCCAGGCAUCCCCAUACUCGGGGCGCCAGAUGAUACUGAUGUUUCUCACUCUAAACGAUGUCAAUUCGUCCAGUCGGACGAGCAAACAGUCCUGAAGACCGCUUGCUGAUCUGACCGUCCUGUCAGGGUCAAUGGUGGGUCGAGGAGGACUUGAACCUCCGACCUCACGCUUAUCAGGCGUGCGCUCUAACCACCUGAGCUACCGACCCACAUGCCGUCCGCGCCUCGGCGCGGCAAAUCGGUCCAG